RNAcentral lists this ribosomal RNA (446 nucleotides) under uncultured bacterium. RNAcentral's name for it is "partial 16S ribosomal RNA". It matches the Rfam family "Bacterial small subunit ribosomal RNA", at positions 338 to 795 of the family's 1533-position model. The record is from RNAcentral.
CCUACGGGAGGCAGCAGUCGAGAAUCAUUCACAAUGGGGGAAACCCUGAUGGUGCGACGCCGCGUGGGGGAAUGAAGGUCUUCGGAUUGUAAACCCCUGUCAUGUGGGAGCAAAUUAAAAAGAUAGUACCACAAGAGGAAGAGACGGCUAACUCUGUGCCAGCAGCCGCGGUAAUACAGCGGUCUCAAGCGUUGUUCGGAAACACUGGGCGGAAAGCGUGCGUAGGCUGUUUCGUAAGUCGUGUGUGAAAGGCGCGGGCUCAACCCGCGGACGGCACAUGAUACUGCGAGACUAGAGUAAUGGAUGGGGAACCGGAAUUCUCGGUGUAGCAGUGAAAUGCGUAGAUAUCGAGAGGAACACUCGUGGCGAAGGCGGGUUCCUGGACAUUAACUGACGCUGAGGCACGAAGGCCAGGGGAGCGAAAGGGAUUAGAUACCCGGGUAGUC